Molecule: non-coding RNA, 75 nt
Organism: Podarcis lilfordi (Lilford's wall lizard)
Lineage: Eukaryota; Metazoa; Chordata; Lepidosauria; Squamata; Lacertidae
Source: the annotation of a GenBank genome assembly
UCUGUGGUGGCUCAGUGGCAGAGUCCCUGCUUUGCAUGCUGAAGGUCACAGGUUCAAUCCCCAGUAUCUCCAGAU